Molecule: non-coding RNA, 2662 nt
Organism: Aegilops tauschii subsp. strangulata
Lineage: Eukaryota; Viridiplantae; Streptophyta; Magnoliopsida; Poales; Poaceae
Source: RefSeq, a predicted model, not a curated record
AACAAAAUUCAGUUAACUAUGAAGCUCUUAACUUUAGUUAACAAUUAACUUGAGAAUUCACUUCAUAAAAAAAUUGUAGUGAACAACCCAACCACAUAGAUGGUUUCCAGGCAACAAAUACACAUACGUGUCAUCCCCUCACAGAUGGGCACUGAUCAAAUAUUAAACAGAAAUACUAGUGUGACAAGAUUAACUUCUGUCAAAAAGUGUCCAAAAUUCAGUUAAGCCACUGUCGAACAUUCAGUGUCGUAAAUUCAGUUAAGCGUAUGCCAAAAAAAGUUCAGCAAUGCUAUUGUUGAAUUUUCAGCAUACCUGUACUGACUAUUUCUGAUAAAAUCAAAUCCACCUUCCCCUCACUAUUCAUUCAUAAUAUUUGUGGCUGUAGCCUACUAAUACAACUUGUAGGUACAGAAAACUUGUCUGCUGGUCGUGGAUCAAACCAAACAUGUCGGCAGCAGUACAGAGACAGUACAGACUUCGCUACUGAAUCAGCCUCAUAAUUACUCCUGCUACUCUUCUCAUGUUUAAAAGCUUGUUCCUAAAACCCGACAAAUGUGGUUUGCGCUUGUGCGGCAAAUAGUUCCUUAUGUAUGUCAUCUAGUCUGAAUUUUUUAUCGAUCACGAUUACCAAAAAAGAGGCAUCUUACUAACCCAUGCAUUACCACCGACAGGCUUGCAUUGUCGAUCAAGCCACUGACACGGCCGACCUGUCUGCGGCGGCAUCAAGCUCGACAGCCAACACGUUCAUCUCAUCACAGAAGGAGCAAAGGAGACGAUCGGUGCAGCGAUGACAUGGUCGCCGGCGCGGGCCAGGUCAAGGUAGAACUCACUAUCGAUGUCGAAGAAGGGUCCCUCACGAGCACCACCUUCCCCUGCAGCUUGCUCCAUGGUGCUGCCCCGUCCAUCUCCGAUCAUGACAAGGACAACAAUUGCCUGGUUGCAACUUCCAUAUCACAUACGUGGACACAGCCACUAUCUGACUGCUAUUCUAUCCCGCCAGUGCCUGUCGCUCCAUGAAUUCUUCUAAUAAAACCCUAAUGAAAGCAGGGUACAGAGGGGCAAAGGAGGCGAGGCAAUUCUCAGUUUCUCACCGUAUGGAGGGGCUGCAUCGACGGGUGCUCGCCGACGAGGCUCCGCCAUCCACGCCCGCGAUGAUCAAUGGCGUCGUCACGACCCCCCCAGGCGGCAACUCCGAACGAUCGAACUAGGAGAGUCGAGGAGAAGAGCUCGCGGCAGCACAAUCGAACUGACCUGCGACAUGUUAGGAUACGAGCGCGAAAUCAGGGUUGCGUUGUCCCACCAGCUCAGCGCCUUGUUUGCAAAAAUAAGAAAAAACGAAGGGGUUUUUCGAAAUAUUCCAGCCACCCACACGACCACACGCCUCUGUGCGCGCUCGCAGUCGCUGUCAAUGGGUCCUGCAGACACGCUGGCAUCUAGUCAGCAGCGCGGACGUACGAAAGCGUGAUUUGAACCGUAUUUUAAACCAAAGAGCCAAGUUUUUACCCUAGUUCAGCGUAUUCUUCAAAUUUAUGCAUCAAAAUGAACAUUGAUGGCAAGUGUGAACAUUGGUGGCAAGUUGAGACACCACCAGUGUAAUCACCUCUACAUCAAUUGGUCAAAGUGCACCGGAAAGGUAAGCUUUGCCAAUGCACCCAGAAUAGAAAAUUAAGACAAGACAGACCAAUACUAAAAUGUAGGGAAACGCUUGUUAUCUAUAAUGUCCAGCAUCAGACCAUUCCAACGCCAUCCAUUCAAUUGAAAUCCGAUGCCUCACAAACUGAGUUGCUUUUGUAAAAAAGAAAACAUCAAUAGGGAAUUAACUGCCCAUAGCCCCGCCGUAAACCUCUCGCUAAUCUCUCUCUUAAUCUCUCCUAUUCCAGUUGCAGCCACACCGGCCCAAGCUCAUCCAGUUCCCACGCACCGCCCGGAGCUCCUCGCCCAGAUUUCCUUCUACCCCGCCUCGCACGCUGCUGCUUCCUGCUCUCCCCGCCGUCGAGCAGCACGGCCGCCCCGCCGGCCAGCUCCGCUCGCUGCUUCUCCAAACCACAUCAUCUUCUACACCUGUGCGACCCCCGGGCGACAACGCUGGUGCUCCAUCCUGGCGUGGAACGAUCCCUAUCCUCAUCUAUGAUUCCUGCUUUGCCAGGUCAAAUCAGGUGCUCAAAGGUCAUCGACGCCGCCUGGCUGACAUCCUAAUCAGUGGGACCGAGGAGUUCAAAGAUAAGGGGGCACAACAUGCAAAUGAGUCACGGCGGCAAGCAGGCGAAUCAGCAAUGGAAACUAGUGGCAAAACGUCCAUUGGUGAUGAAGACUACUGGUGCAAUGAGAACCUAGCUCAAGACAAUGGGCCUGCUUGCUUCCUAGCAAGCAACACGGCUGCUUCGUUAAGCUUCACGGAGCAAACAUGUAGCAAGUAGUAGGUAUUUUUUGCUUGGAAACAGGAAAUGACAUGCCUGCUUGUAAAUGUUCACGAAAGUGAACGAACAUGAAGCUAGUAGGAAGCAUGUAGCACCAAUGGCCAGCUUGAGGGGCCGCAUUGUCACAUCCCGUACAGAAGCAAGUAAGGAAACUAGUGGGAGAAUAUCCAAUUUGUAAGGAACGAUUCGAUGUAAAUUGUUUCUCAAAGAAGCAUAUUUGUUUGAAAAAAAAUUGAGCACAUUCA